AUUGGUUAGGAGUGAGGACUGUUGUUUUUAAAUUGAGUACUGAAGAAGAGCAGCACUGAAAAGAGAAUCAUUAGGCAGAGAGCUGAAGGAAUAAUAAUGAGAAAUGUGUCUAUCUCAAAGAGAAAAUAUUUCAGAGAAAGAAAACUGAAAGUUCAAAACCGUGGGGUGAGAAGAUGUAUGGCCUGGUAGGAAAGAGCAAGAGUCCAGUGUGUCUGGGCACAGGCUGAGGUACCAGAGAAGAGCACAAAGAGACAACCUAAGCCCAGAUCAUGUACAGCUUUUCAGUUCAGGAUAGGGAAGACACUGGAAAUCUUGAGCAAGAAACAAGCAAAAUCCACCCUUGUGCUCCCCAAAGUGUGAUUUGGAGGUUGGUGCCAAUCCGUGAGCAGUCCCUUACAGGUUCCUGACAAAACAACCACACAAAUUAGGAAUAAGCAUUUAAAUCUUGUUACAGAAAUCUUAUUUCUUCUUAUCAUUGAAAUGUAAUUUCCAUGUUUUGAAUCUGAUAAUAAAUAUGACUUGUAUUUUUUAUGUCAUUUUAAAUUUUAUUUUUCUAGUAAUUCCUUUUGUAACAGCUUACAUGAUGAUCCAUGAUGGAACAGAAAUUUCUUAAAUAUUUCUUUAUCACUGAUAGUUUGAGAAGGACUGGGUUAAACUGCAUUUUAAAAGGAUCAUUCUAGUUUGCCAUCUGGAGGACAAACAAG
Molecule: long non-coding RNA, 704 nt
Filed under: Marmota monax (woodchuck)
Lineage: Eukaryota; Metazoa; Chordata; Mammalia; Rodentia; Sciuridae
Source: RNAcentral